UACGUAGGGUGCGAGCGUUAAUCGGAAUUACUGAGCGUAAAGCGUGCGCAGGCGGUUCUCCAAGUCCGUUGUGAAAGCCCCGGGCUCAACCUGGGAAUGGCAGUGGAAACUAGGGGACUGGAAUCUGGCAGAGGGGGGUGGAAUGCCGCGUGUAGCAGUGAAAUGCGUAGAGAUGCGGCGGAACACCGAUGGCGAAGGCAGCCCCCUGGGCUGAGAUUGACGCUCAGGCACGAAAGCGUGGGGAGCAAACAGG
RNAcentral lists this ribosomal RNA (253 nucleotides) under uncultured bacterium. Its description in RNAcentral is "partial 16S ribosomal RNA". It matches the Rfam family "Bacterial small subunit ribosomal RNA", at positions 524 to 776 of the family's 1533-position model. The record is from RNAcentral.